RNAcentral lists this ribosomal RNA (412 nucleotides) under uncultured Lachnospiraceae bacterium. RNAcentral's name for it is "bacterial SSU rRNA". It matches the Rfam family "Bacterial small subunit ribosomal RNA", at positions 48 to 442 of the family's 1533-position model. The record is from RNAcentral. Lineage: Bacteria; Bacillati; Bacillota; Clostridia; Lachnospirales; Lachnospiraceae.
CUAACACAUGCAAGUCGAACGAAGCAAUUAAGAUGAAGUUUUCGGAUGGAAUCUUGAUUGACUGAGUGGCGGACGGGUGAGUAACGCGUGGAUAACCUGCCUCACACUGGGGGAUAACAGUUAGAAAUGACUGCUAAUACCGCAUAAGCGCACAGUGCCGCAUGGCAGUGUGUGAAAAACUCCGGUGGUGUGAGAUGGAUCCGCGUCUGAUUAGCCAGUUGGCGGGGUAACGGCCCACCAAAGCGACGAUCAGUAGCCGACCUGAGAGGGUGACCGGCCACAUUGGGACUGAGACACGGCCCAAACUCCUACGGGAGGCAGCAGUGGGGAAUAUUGCACAAUGGGCGAAAGCCUGAUGCAGCGACGCCGCGUGAGUGAAGAAGUAUUUCGGUAUGUAAAGCUCUAUCAGCAG